This 1526-nucleotide ribosomal RNA is filed under the name metagenome. Its description in RNAcentral is "bacterial SSU rRNA". It matches the Rfam family "Bacterial small subunit ribosomal RNA". The record is from RNAcentral.
AGAGUUUGAUCCUGGCUCAGAACGAACGCUGGCGGCGUGGAUUAGGCAUGCAAGUCGAACGCUCUCUCUGCUUGCAGGGAGAUAGUGGCAAACGGGUGAGGAACACGUGAGUAAUUUACCUUUGGGUUCGGAACAACCUUUCGAAAGGAAGGCUAAUACCGGAUAAGACCACGGUUCAUAAGAACUGCGGUUAAAGAUGGGGAUCCUGAAAAUGGACCUGUCGCCUAUUGAUGAGCUCGCGUCUUAUCAGCUUGUUGGUGGGGUAAAAGCCUACCAAGGCGAAGACGGGUAGCUGGUCUGAGAGGAUGGUCAGCCACACUGGGACUGAGACACUGCCCAGACUCCUACGGGAGGCUGCAGUCGAGAAUCUUUUGCAAUGCCCGAAAGGGUGACAAUGCGACGCCGCGUGAGCGAUGAAGGCCUUCGGGUUGUAAAGCUCUGUCAGCUCGCACGAAAAUCCUUGGUUGAAUAUUCCAGGGAUCUGACGGUACGAGCAGAGGAAGCCACGGCUAACUCCGUGCCAGCAGCCGCGGUAAUACGGAGGUGGCAAGCGUUGUUCGGAUUUACUGGGUGUAAAGGUCAUGUAGGCGUCUUAUUAAGUCGGAUGUGAAAUCCCUUGGCUCAACCAAGGAACUGCAUUCGAAACUGGUAAGAUUGAGUACGGGAGAGGUAAGCGGAAUUCCAGAAGUAAGGGUGAAAUCUGUAGAUAUCUGGAAGAACACCAUUAGCGAAGGCGGCUUACUGGCCCGAUACUGACGCUGAAAUGAGAAAGCUAGGGGAGUGAACAGGAUUAGAUACCCUGGUAAUCCUAGCUGUAAACGAUGGGCACUAGGUGCAGGUCCGCGAGGGGCUGUGUCGUAGCUAACGCGUUAAGUGCCCCACCUGGGGACUACGGUCGCAAGGCUAAAACUCAAAGGAAUUGACGGGGACCCGCACAAGCGGUGGAGCAUGUGGUUUAAUUCGAUGCUACGCGAGGAACCUUACCUGGGUUUGACAUGCAAGCAGUAGGAACCUGAAAGGGGGACGACCUGUAAAGCCAGGAACUUGCACAGGUGUUGCAUGGCUGUCGUCAGCUCGUGUCGUGAGAUGUUGGGUUAAGUCCCGCAACGAGCGCAACCAUCGUCCCUUGUUGCUACUUUUAAGAGCUUGCUCUUAAGAGGCACUCUAGGGAGACUGCCAGUGUUCAACUGGAGGAAGGAGGAGAUGACGUCAAGUCGGUAUGGCCCUUACGCCCAGGGCUACACACGUGCUACAAUGGUCGAUACAAUGGGUCGCGAAACCGCGAGGUGGAGCUAAUCUCAAAAAAUCGGCCCCAGUUCGGAUCGGAGGCUGCAAUUCGCCUCCGUGAAGUUGGAAUCGCUAGUAACCGCAGAUCAGCCUUGCUGCGGUGAAUACGUUCCCGGGUCUUGUACACACCGCCUGUCAAGUCACCUGAGUUGAGUGCACCCGAAGCCGUUAGUCUGACCUUUACGGGGGGACGACGUCGAAGGUGUGUUUGGCAAGGAGGACUAAGUCAUAACAAGGUA